RNAcentral lists this ribosomal RNA (117 nucleotides) under Pteropus alecto (black flying fox). The record is from RNAcentral. Lineage: Eukaryota; Metazoa; Chordata; Mammalia; Chiroptera; Pteropodidae.
GUCUACAGCCAUCUGACUGAACACGCCUGAUCUCGUCUGAUCUCGGAAGCUAAGCAGGAUCAGGCCUAGUUAGUACAUGGACGGGAGACCACCGAGGAAGACCAGGUGCUAUAGGUG